GGGGGCGUGGUGGAAUGGUAGACACAACGGACUUAAUAGAAAAUCCGUUGACUUUAACGGUCGUGAGGGUUCAAGUCCCUCCGCCCCC
Molecule: transfer RNA, 88 nt
Filed under: Vischeria stellata
Lineage: Eukaryota; Eustigmatophyceae; Eustigmatales; Chlorobotryaceae
Description: tRNA-Leu
Rfam family: tRNA
About the family: Transfer RNA (tRNA) molecules are approximately 80 nucleotides in length.
Source: RNAcentral